UCGAACGGCAGCGCGGGAGCAAUCCUGGCGGCGAGUGGCGAACGGGUGAGUAAUACAUCGGAACGUGCCCAAUCGUGGGGGAUAACGCAGCGAAAGCUGUGCUAAUACCGCAUACGAUCUACGGAUGAAAGCAGGGGGUCGCAAGACCUUGCACGAAUGGAGCGGCCGAUGGCAGAUUAGGUAGUUGGUGAGGUAAAGGCUCACCAAGCCUUCGAUCUGUAGCUGGUCUGAGAGGACGACCAGCCACACUGGGACUGAGACACGGCCCAGACUCCUACGGGAGGCAGCAGUGGGGAAUUCUGGACAAUGGGCGAAAGCCUGAUCCAGCCAUGCCGCGUGCAGGAUGAAGGCCUUCGGGUUGUAAACUGCUUUUGUACGGAACGAAACGGCCUUUUCUAAUAAAGAGGGCUAAUGACGGUACCGUAAGAAUAAGCACCGGCUAACUACGUGCCAGCAGCCGCGGUAAUACGUAGGGUGCAAGCGUUAAUCGGAAUUACUGGGCGUAAAGCGUGCGCAGGCGGUUAUGUAAGACAGUUGUGAAAUCCCCGGGCUCAACCUGGGAACUGCAUCUGUGACUGCAUAGCUAGAGUACGGUAGAGGGGGAUGGAAUUCCGCGUGUAGCAGUGAAAUGCGUAGAUAUGCGGAGGAACACCGAUGGCGAAGGCA
This 666-nucleotide ribosomal RNA is filed under the name uncultured beta proteobacterium. RNAcentral's name for it is "bacterial SSU rRNA". It matches the Rfam family "Bacterial small subunit ribosomal RNA", at positions 62 to 723 of the family's 1533-position model. The record is from RNAcentral. Lineage: Bacteria; Pseudomonadati; Pseudomonadota; Betaproteobacteria.